CUCUUUUUGUUUAUAUAUAUAAAGUAUGACCUGCCCACUGGUUGAUUUGAAGGGCCGCGGUAACCUGACCGUGCAAAGGUAGCAUAAUCAUUAGUUUCUUAAUUAGAGGCUGGAAUGAAUGGUUGGACGAAAUAUUGGCUAUCUUGUUAUUUUUAUUAGAAUUUAAUUAUUAAGUAAAAAAGCUUAAAUAUUAUUAUGGGACGAUAAGACCCUAUAGAGUUUAAUAUUAUAAUUUUUAGAUUAGUUAUAUUUUGCAAUAUUAAUUAUAAUUUUUUGUUGGGGUGACAGGAAGAUAUAAAUAACUCUUUUUUAUUGAUAAAUAUUAAUUUAUAGAUUUUUGAUCCAUUAAUAAUGAUUAUAAGACUAAAUUACCUUAGGGAUAACAGCGUAAUCUUUUUUGAGAGUUCUUAUCAAUAAAAGGGGUUGCGA
This 429-nucleotide ribosomal RNA is filed under the name Blattella nipponica. Its description in RNAcentral is "partial 16S ribosomal RNA". The record is from RNAcentral. Lineage: Eukaryota; Metazoa; Arthropoda; Insecta; Blattodea; Blattellidae.